UGGCUACCCGCAAUGGAUAUUAAUUUUGGGAUUUAACAAAACGUUGGAGAUAUUUGGGAAAUUUUAAAACUGACAGAAUCAGCAAUCUCUGUCACUUUUGAAAUCCUACAAAUCUUAAAUGUAAUUAGUACAAAAUACGCAGCAAUAUGUCAUCAGAAUAGUAAAGUAAAAGAUUUAAAAUGGAUAUGUUUAUUUCCAGAACAAGCAGGAAACUAGAAUGGACAACUUUUUAAAAUCAAAUCACUGAAGAUUUAAGAAUUGUAAACCUAAAAUUAUCAGUUACUAUAUCUUGGCAAUAUAUUGAUUUACAUAUCUAUAAGGAUCGAAGUCUGUUUGGAAAGAUAUUCUAUGCCAGUGAUGUUCGCGACUAGAAAGAAAAUUGUCAUGUUGAAUUUACAUGAAAUUCUUCGAAAAUUCAUUUCGAUGUGCCAUGAAAAAACAGUGAGCUCGCAGUAGUCGACUGUUCAAUACUCUGUGCACACAGCUGAGUCCAAAUGGAAAAUAGAAAUACUUAAUGAAUAAUUAAGGAAUGUUAAAACGUUCAAAGAGAUCAUUAAUCUACCUGUUUAAAAACAUUUUGGGUGAUUCCGAUAUUUGUGAUUUACCUGCCCUCCCAAUUAGCAUCAUUAAAAACUUUCAGGAGUAUACCUAAAUAUAUAGCCGAAGUAUGUAGUCUGUUUCUUUGAUAUCUUCGAAAAGACAGCCAAACAGAUGGUUUGUAAGUUAAGUAUAAAAAUAAAAUGUGUAUAUAUAAUACGUAUGCUUUCUUCUGUGACAAAUAACAAAGAAUAACAAGCUACGACGCGGCGAAGUUACUUAUUCCAGCAAAUAAUACACUAGCUAAAGGUGAAGGUGUGAGGUGGCUGACAUCAUAUAAGAGCACUCAACGUAAAACGGGUUGUUGUCGUUGUUGUCGCUGUCUCCUUCGCAGCACUUAAUUUGUCUGUCAGAAUGAUCUAGUCUGCGCCUGGUGCAUACGUUUUUUGAAUUGUGCAAACCGAGUGCCACUUAAAACAAUGCAGUCGCAACACAAACACACACCGACACACACAUGUGGACUCUUACUUGACCCAGAUACUGACCGGAUGGAUGCUUCAAGCUUAACCUAAGCCAGUUCAAGCAUACGGAUAAUCCUUAUUCUGAUUAAUGUGAGUUCAACGUGCUUAAGGAUGCCGGGCAAGCGAUAUUCUAUUCUCCAAUCGACUUCGGAAACCAUUGUCCUGCAAAUGACGGGUGAAUAGCUGGCGUUGCCAAAAACGAAGAAGCUGCCUCGAAAGUUGAUUGUAAACUAUUCUAUAGUCGUUCUCAGCCUUGUAAAUUUGUAGCAGCAUCGGAAUACAUUUCCUCAAUAUAUAUUGUUAAACAUGCUGCUUCUGUAUGUAACAAUUAAGUAAAAAAUCAACACAUAUACUGCAUAUAUUGUGCGCAA
Non-coding RNA from Drosophila virilis, 1429 nucleotides. The record is from RefSeq and is a predicted model, not a curated record. NCBI's taxonomy places the organism in Eukaryota, Metazoa, Arthropoda, Insecta, Diptera, Drosophilidae.